RNAcentral lists this ribosomal RNA (468 nucleotides) under uncultured bacterium. Its description in RNAcentral is "partial 16S ribosomal RNA". It matches the Rfam family "Bacterial small subunit ribosomal RNA", at positions 28 to 507 of the family's 1533-position model. The record is from RNAcentral.
GACGAACGCUGGCGGCGUGCUUAACACAUGCAAGUCGAACGGAAAGGCCCUGCUUUUGUGGGGUGCUCGAGUGGCGAACGGGUGAGUAACACGUGAGUAACCUGCCCUUGACUUUGGGAUAACUUCAGGAAACUGGGGCUAAUACCGGAUAGGAGCUCCUGCUGCAUGGGGGGGGUUGGAAAGUUUUGGCGGUUGGGGAUGGACUCGCGGCUUAUCAGCUUGUGGGUGGGGUAGUGGCUUACCAAGGCUUUGACGGGUAGCCGGCCUGGGAGGGUGACCGGCCACAUUGGGACUGAGAUGCGGCGCAGACUCCUACGGGAGGAAGCAGUGGGGAAUAUUGCACAAUGGGCGGAAGCCUGAUGCAGCAACGCCGCGUGCGGGAUGACGGCCUUCGGGUUGUAAACCGCUUUCGCCUGUGACGAAGCGUGAGUGACGGUAAUGGGUAAAGAAGCACCGGCUAACUACGUG